GAUGAACGCUGGCGGCGUGCUUAACACAUGCAAGUCGAGCGAAGCAGUUAAGUUGAUUUCUUCGGAUUGAUUCUUAACUGACUGAGCGGCGGACGGGUGAGUAACGCGUGGGUGACCUGCCCCAUACCGGGGGAUAACAGCUGGAAACGGCUGCUAAUACCGCAUAAGCGCACAGAGCUGCAUGGCUCGGUGUGAAAAACUCCGGUGGUAUGGGAUGGGCCCGCGUCUGAUUAGGCAGUUGGCGGGGUAACGGCCCACCAAACCGACGAUCAGUAGCCGGCCUGAGAGGGCGACCGGCCACAUUGGGACUGAGACACGGCCCAAACUCCUACGGGAGGCAGCAGUGGGGAAUAUUGCACAAUGGGGGAAACCCUGAUGCAGCGACGCCGCGUGAGCGAAGAAGUAUUUCGGUAUGUAAAGCUCUAUCAGCAGGGAAGA
RNAcentral lists this ribosomal RNA (438 nucleotides) under uncultured bacterium. RNAcentral describes it as "bacterial SSU rRNA". It matches the Rfam family "Bacterial small subunit ribosomal RNA", at positions 28 to 448 of the family's 1533-position model. The record is from RNAcentral.